Molecule: long non-coding RNA, 429 nt
Organism: Pangasianodon hypophthalmus (striped catfish)
Lineage: Eukaryota; Metazoa; Chordata; Actinopteri; Siluriformes; Pangasiidae
Exons: 2
Source: RefSeq, a predicted model, not a curated record
GUGGAAUGGGGGAGGAGAGGAACACGGCAAACAGGGAGUAGGAGAGGACAUAGAGGAGCAGAAUUAACAGUUUUGGCCCAGAGCAUGUGAUAUGAAUAAAAUUUGAGAGAAUAGGUGCAGUGAAAAACAGGACAAAAGUGUCUAUCAGCUUCCUUUGUGCACGCAGGCAGAAUCCAGCUGGAGACACCGGAGGAAACCCAGACACAACAUGGGAAGAACAUGCUUUCACACAGAGAGCAGUCCAAGCUCAGGAUGGAACCAGGGACCCUGGAGCUUUGAGGCAGCCAUGUUACCCACAACAGCUUGCUGUCACAACUGGUCCAAUACCAGAACAUUUAGUAAAAUGGCUGCUGCAGGGAGCCAUCAACAGGCCAAUUUGUUUGUUUUGCUAACCAAAACAAGACAAUAUUAAACUUUUUGUAAAUAAUA